Molecule: ribosomal RNA, 1416 nt
Filed under: uncultured Mollicutes bacterium
Lineage: Bacteria; Bacillati; Mycoplasmatota; Mollicutes
Description: 16S ribosomal RNA
Rfam family: Bacterial small subunit ribosomal RNA
Source: RNAcentral
AACGCUGGCGGCAUGCCUAAUACAUGCAAGUCGAACGAAAUACAUUCGUAUUUAGUGGCGAACGGGUGAGUAAUGCAUAUUUAAUCUACCUAAACGAUAGGAAUAACAGCUAGAAAUAGUUGCUAAUACCUAAUAGGAUAGCAAUAUUUAAAGGUCCUUUUGGAUCGCGUUUAGAUGAGAAUAUGUCGUAUUAGCUAGUUGGUGGGGUAAAUGCCUACCAAGGCAAUGAUACGUAGCCGACCUGAGAGGGUGAACGGCCACAUCGGGACUGAGACACGGCCCGGACUCCUACGGGAGGCAGCAGUAAGGAAUUUUUCACAAUGGACGAAAGUCUGAUGAAGCAAUGCCGCGUGAUUGAUGACAGCCUUAGGGUUGUAAAAAUCUGUUAAGAGGAAAGAAAACUAAGCAAAAGAGAAAGUUGCUUAUUUGACGGUACCUUUUUAGAAAGACACGGCAAACUAUGUGCCAGCAGCCGCGGUAAUACAUAGGUGUCAAGCGUUAUUCGGAUUUAUUGGGCGUAAAGGGUGCGUAGACGGUUUAAAAAGUUUGAGGUUGAAAAUUAAAGCUUAACUUUAUUAUGCUUCAAAAACUGUUAGACUAGAGAUUGAUAGAGGUUAAUGGAACUUUAUGUGUAGUGGUAAAAUACGUAGAUAUAUAAAGGAACACCGGNNNNNNNNNNNNNNNNNNNNNNNNNNNNNNNNNNNNNNNNNNNNNNNNNNNNNNNNNNNNNNNNNNNNGAUACCCUAGUAGUCCACGCCGUAAACGAUGAGUACUAAGUGUCAAUUUUUUAUUGGUGCUACAGCUAACGCGUUAAGUACUCCGCCUGAGUAGUACGCUCGCAAGAGUAAAACUCAAAGGAAUUGACGGGGACCCGCACAAGCAGUGGAGCAUGUGGUUUAAUUCGAAGCAACGCGAAGAACCUUACCAAGGCUUGACAUCCAGUGCAAAGCUAUAGAAAUAUAGUAGAGGUUAACAUUGAGACAGGUGGUGCAUGGUUGUCGUCAGCUCGUGCCGUGAGGUGUUAGGUUAAGUCCUGUAACGAGCGCAACCCUUGUUGUUAAUUGCUAAUAUUAAGUUAAGUACUUUAACAAGACUGCUAGUGUAAACUAGAGGAAGGUGAGGAUGACGUCAAAUCAUCAUGCCCCUUAUGUCUUGGGCUACACACGUGCUACAAUGGCCAAUACAAAGAGUUGCGAACUUGCGAAAGUAAGCUAAUCUCAAAAAGUUGGUCUCAGUUCGGAUUGAAGGCUGCAACCCGCCUUCAUGAAGCCGGAAUUGCUAGUAAUCGCAAAUCAGCCAUGUUGCGGUGAAUACGUUCUCGGGUCUUGUACACACCGCCCGUCACACCAUGAAAGUUAAUCGUGCCAGAAGUUAGUGAAUCAACUUGCAAAAGAGAAAGCUACCUAAGGUAAAGUU